Molecule: ribosomal RNA, 235 nt
Filed under: uncultured bacterium
Lineage: Bacteria
Description: partial 16S ribosomal RNA
Rfam family: Bacterial small subunit ribosomal RNA
Source: RNAcentral
CGGGACGGGUGAGUAACGCGUGGGUAACUACCCUGUACACACAGAUAACAUACCGAAAGGUAUGCUAAUACGGGAUAAUAUAUUUGAGAGGCAUCUCUUGAAUAUCAAAGGUGAGCCAGUACAGGAUGGACCCGCGUCUGAUUAGCUAGUUGGUAAGGUAACGGCUUACCAAGGCGACGAUCAGUAGCCGACCUGAGAGGGUGAUCGGCCACAUUGGAACUGAGACACGGUCCAA